RNAcentral lists this ribosomal RNA (110 nucleotides) under Planctomycetales bacterium ZRK34. Lineage: Bacteria; Pseudomonadati; Planctomycetota; Planctomycetia; Planctomycetales. The record is from RNAcentral.
GUCGGUGACCCAAUAGGCUUGAGGAAACACCCGUUCCCAUCCCGAACACGGCCGUUAAGCUCAAGUCGCCGAUGAUACUGGCUUUGCUGGGAAAGUAGGUAUCGCCGACU